GACGAACGCUGGCGGCGUGCUUAACACAUGCAAGUCGAACGGAAAGGCCCUGCUUUUGUGGGGUGCUCGAGUGGCGAACGGGUGAGGAACACGUGAGUAACCUGCCCUUGACUUUGGGAUAACUUAAGGAAACUGGGGCUAAUCCCGGAUAGGAGCUCCUGCUGCAGGGUGGGGGUUGGAAAGUUUCGGCGGUUGGGGAUGGACUCGAGGCUUAUCAGCCUGUUGGUGGGGUUGUGGCUUACCAAGGCUUUGACGGGUGGCCGGCCUGAGCGGGUGACCGGCCACAUUGGGACUGAGAUACGGCCCAGACUCCUACGGGAGGCAGCAGUGGGGAAUAGUGCACAAUGGGCGGAAGCCUGAUGCAGCAACGCCGCGUGCGUGAUGACGGCCUUCGGGUUGUAAACCGCUUUCGCCUGUGACGAAGCGUGAGUGACGGUAAUGGGUAAAGAAGCACCGGCUAACUACGUG
Molecule: ribosomal RNA, 468 nt
Filed under: uncultured bacterium
Lineage: Bacteria
Description: partial 16S ribosomal RNA
Rfam family: Bacterial small subunit ribosomal RNA
Source: RNAcentral